AUUGAACGCUGGCGGCAUGCCUUACACAUGCAAGUCGAACGGCAGCACGGGGGCAACCCUGGUGGCGAGUGGCGAACGGGUGAGUAAUGCAUCGGAACGUGCCCAGUAGUGGGGGAUAACCAGUCGAAAGAUUGGCUAAUACCGCAUACGACCUACGGGUGAAAGCGGGGGACCGUAAGGCCUCGCGCUAUUGGAGCGGCCGAUGUCUGAUUAGCUAGUUGGCGGGGUAA
Molecule: ribosomal RNA, 230 nt
Filed under: uncultured Pseudomonadota bacterium
Lineage: Bacteria; Pseudomonadati; Pseudomonadota
Description: uncultured proteobacterium partial 16S ribosomal RNA
Rfam family: Bacterial small subunit ribosomal RNA
Source: RNAcentral